GGAUCAGUGACCCCAUAAAAGGACAUAUGAGAACUUGCUUUUUCUCUCUCUGUUCUCCUCCAUGUGUGGACACAGCAAGAUGACCAUCUGCAAUUCAGAAAAGAUUUGCUGACUUCUGCCCUAGGAUACUGUCAUGGUCUGCAUGUUUGAAACUGGGUCACCACUACAUCUGGCAAAAGGAACAUGGAAAAGGCAACUCUCAUUGGUGCCAGACCUAGAAACAACACAUGUCACUUCUGUUCCUUUUAACCAGAAGGAAACUUUAAUCACUGGCAAUGCAACACCAAGGGAACCUGUGUAAUCCAAUUGAGUCAACAGUUCCACUCAGGCUAUAAGCCUGUAUUAUGAAAGAAGAGGAAGGUGCUUUGCUGGAUGAUUCUUGCACAGGAGUGGAAAAACUAUGACCCAUCGCCAGUUUUUGUAUGGACUGCGAGCUAAAGAUAACGUUUCCCGACUCCUGGUCUAGCACAUAGAAGGAACUCAGUGUUUGAAAAAGGAAGAAGGGAGGGGAGGUAGAGAAUCAUAGAGUAGGUUGCUCUCUGGGGAAAAAUGAGUUGUUGUUUUUCUGACACAAAGACCAAUGCACAGACGUCAGGCGGCAGGCCAGCCUUUUCCUGAGAACACCAUGAGCACAAGUUUAUUUCUAAAGCUCUAAAGCGAUGCGUCUGAGUCCCUAAGAUGAGCUUCUUCUACUUAAACGCCAAAAAGCGACCAUUCAUCAUAGAAAUUAUAGGUCAACUAAAAACAAUAAAAUGGGAGAACACAUAAGGACUGACUCUUGUAAGCAACUCCGGAUCUUUUUGAAUAGAUUAGCAACAUGUUGGUUCAUCAAAUUCCAAGUUAACAGAUGAAAAACGUUGUGAAAUUCAUGGAAGAGAAGGGCGUUGAUAUUCAUUGGCCAUUCAUCAUGUACCAGGCAUUCAGGGAGAAUCCAUACGUAUAUGAAACCAGAGAGCUCAUUGAGAACGGGAUUACUUCCUCAUUCUGGCACGAGGAAGUGUGGAUCAUAAACAUGAAGGAACUGUCCAAGGCCUUAUGGAGGCAGGAGCAGAGCUGAGGACUCUGAUUUAGAUCCAGCCAAGAUCUUUACUUCUGCGCCGCCAUGCUGCAUCUACUGAAUUAUAGGCUGUAAAACUGGAUUAGCCACAUCCGCAAAGGUGGGAAAUCUGUCUCUGGGGUGAGUUGAUAUAUCUAGAAAUUCUGAGCCUCAAGGGAACAGAGUCAGAGUCAGGUUAAGUCCUUUUGCCACAGUGCAAAGCUCCUGCAGAGCAGCCAGGGCCCAGCUCUCCCAGGUUCCUGGGAGCAUGAACUGAGCCUCCCGUUGUUACCCGGUCUGCCUAAGAGUUCAGUGAAGUGUUGGAGUUUCCAUACGGCAUGCUGAGCUGCUCUAGAAAGGCGCUCUCAGACAAUCUGAGGAAGGAAAUGGACUGAAAAGUCAUGUCUGUAGAAGCAGCAGUAAAAAGAGAGAUUUAUCACUUGUUCUGAUAAAUUGACAGUGAAAUUAAAAAGCUUAAUUAUUUCAGCAUGAA
Molecule: long non-coding RNA, 1529 nt
Organism: Pan troglodytes (chimpanzee)
Lineage: Eukaryota; Metazoa; Chordata; Mammalia; Primates; Hominidae
Exons: 4
Source: RefSeq, a predicted model, not a curated record